This is a long non-coding RNA of Vigna unguiculata (cowpea), 823 nucleotides long. RefSeq lists it as uncharacterized. The record is from RefSeq and is a predicted model, not a curated record. NCBI's taxonomy places the organism in Eukaryota, Viridiplantae, Streptophyta, Magnoliopsida, Fabales, Fabaceae.
UCCCUAUAAAACCAGCUUCAACACUUUUUUUAUUCUCCAUGCUAGAUCGCAACUUCAUCUAUUGCAUCCAAGUUUUACCUGUUGUAUAUAAAGAAGAGUCCAGAAGGUGAAGGUGACAUCACUAGCGUCAGAAUGAGGGUUCUGGCAAUUGCAUUAAUGUUGAUGGUGGCAUGCUGCUGUUUUAUGGCUGGGAAUAGUUGGAACAUAGAGGCCCAAAUGCAUGGAAAAACCAACCAACUUAGUUACCACAAUAAUCACCAUGGCAAAACCUCUGCCAGAGCCUACUCUCACGUCACUCAUGGUAAUGAUCAUCAUUACAUCCCUCCCAAAGAUUUUGUUAAACCUGCGUCUGUCCAAUAUCAUGUCAAUGACGAUAGUGAUAAUCACUACACUUCUAAUAUGGAUAAUUAUGGCAAACCUGGGGGACUAAUUAAAACGCAUGGUUAAUGGCAUGCUUCUUCUUCCCUCACAACAACCAUCACACAUGCAACUUUGUGGAGAGGAAUUCAUAUAUAUAUAUAUAUGGCUGCUGCUAGACAUAGAUGAAGAUCAUAUAUAUGUGUAACUUUGUGUUUGUGAGUAAUGUUUGAUAAAUAAAUCAGUUACUGCUAGACAUGUCUGUGUGUGAAAGUAGAUUACGAGAAAUUCCUGGCUGUUCCUUUCACAGAUACAAGAAUUUCUGAGUACUCGUAGAACUGAGUGUGUAUCUCAGUACCUGUGUGUUGUGUCCCCUUCGAUCAGUGUGUACCUAUAAAGGAGUGCAGUAGUAAUUAUGAUCAUCGUUUUCUGUUCAUAAAUAAAGAUAUUACACGCUUUGUUUGCU